UACGAGGGGGGCGAGCGUUGUUUCGGAAUUAUUUGGGCGUAAAGGGGUGCGUAGGCGGUUUGGUAAGUCUUAUGUGAAAAUCUACAGGCUCAACUUGUAGUCUGCAUGGAGAAAACUGCCGGGGCUUGAGUAUGGGAGAGGUGAGUGGAAUUCCUGGUGUAGCGGUGAAAUGCGUAGAUAUCAGGAGGAACACCUGUGGCGAAAAGCGGCUCACUGGACCAUAACUGACGCUGAUGCACGAAAGCUAGGGGAGCAAACAGG
This 261-nucleotide ribosomal RNA is filed under the name uncultured bacterium. RNAcentral's name for it is "partial 16S ribosomal RNA". It matches the Rfam family "Bacterial small subunit ribosomal RNA", at positions 524 to 776 of the family's 1533-position model. The record is from RNAcentral.